CCUACGGGAGGCUGCAGUGGGGAAUAUUGGACAAUGGGGGGAACCCUGAUCCAGCGACGCCGCGUGAGUGAAGAAGUAUUUCGGUAUGUAAAGCUCUAUCAGCAGGGAAGAAAAUGACGGUACCUGACUAAGAAGCCCCGGCUAACUACGUGCCAGCAGCCGCGGGAAUACGUAGGGGGCAAGCGUUAUCCGGAUUUACUGGGUGUAAAGGGAGCGUAGACGGUGCAGCAAGUCUGAUGUGAAAGGUCGGGGCUCAACCCCGGGAGUGCAUUUGAUACUGUUGAACUGGAGUACAGGAGAGGUAAGCGGAAUUCCUGGUGUAGCGGUGAAAUGCGUAGAGAUUAGGAGGAACACCAGUGGCGAAGGCGGCUUACUGGACUGUAACUGACGUUGAGGCUCGAAAGCGUGGGGAGCAAACAGGAUUAGAUACCCCAGUAGUC
Molecule: ribosomal RNA, 440 nt
Filed under: uncultured bacterium
Lineage: Bacteria
Description: partial 16S ribosomal RNA
Rfam family: Bacterial small subunit ribosomal RNA
Source: RNAcentral